Molecule: long non-coding RNA, 2726 nt
Organism: Beta vulgaris subsp. vulgaris (sugar beet)
Lineage: Eukaryota; Viridiplantae; Streptophyta; Magnoliopsida; Caryophyllales; Amaranthaceae
Exons: 4
Source: RefSeq, a predicted model, not a curated record
AACAAGUAAUAUAAAACGGAGAAAGUAUCAUCUUCCCAAAACCCGACCUCUUUUAGCAAAUUCCAUUAUUUAGCGGCCAUUUGAUUAGGACGUUACAAAAAGAGAAAAGAACAUUGAUUUCACUAUUUAAAAAUUGUUUGGUUGGUGGGUUUUGGUUUUCCCUUUCGCCCAACAUUACCCCAAAUCCCUGAACUUGAUUCCCCAUCCCACCCUCUCCACCUAGAAUGAGGGGUAACGGAAACCCCCUUUGACCACCCAUCUCACUCCUAUAACCACCCCAUAACAACCACCUCUAUCAACAUUCAACAAGACCUAACCCAUAACCUUCUUGAAACCACUCACAAUCUCUCGAAACCACCACCAACCUCCGGAAACCAAUCAGACCCCCCCCCCCCAAAUACCUCCUUACAACAACCGCACCCAAAAACCCUCCAUAGCCCUAAACCAACUCUUUAUCAAAAACCUCCCACCCACUCCCAAAAAUAACUCAAAAACACCGAAACUUACGCCCACACUUCGGAGUCAACCUCGCAGCCUUAGAAGAUGAUGUCAAUGAUAAGGGUUUAGAGUGCGGCUGAUGUGACCCACAAAUGAGGAAGAGAUCUAGUCGUCUAGUCGAGCAAGGGGGGCAAUCCGGCGGGGAGGGGGCAGCUGGGUGGAACGAAGAAGAGAUUGUUACUACACUUUGACUCCUCCACCACGCAUAAAGUCAUGAAUAUAAAAAGUGUUUUAAAAUGGAAAAAUUGAUAUGAAAAAAUCUUAAUCUUCUCCUUAAAAUAAUCUCAAAUUUGAUUUAUUUCAUAAUAAUUUUAACUUUGAAGGGAAUCUUCUCAAAAUAAAUCAAAUCAUGACUUUUCUUGCCUACACUAAUUCGUUUUAGGUCUAUAAUAUAUAGAAAAUUAAUAGUUCAUAUUAUUUUGAGAAGGAAAUCCUAUAGUUGAAAUUAUUCUAAAAUAAUCAAAACUUGCAAUUAUUUUUAAAAAAUUGGUGAAAGUUGGAACUAUUCAUGUCAAUCCUUUUAUAAUCUGGCUCAAUGUGUAAAAAAAUACCAAUUACUUUUGCCCAUUCUCUCGCAAACUUAUGAUUAUUUUCUAAUAAGAAAAACUUCUGAUCAAUUCCUCCAAUAAGACACUACCAGUUAUUAACUUGUUGGAGUUUUUUUGACAUGUUGUACAGGUUACAAGUCAACUUAACCUACUGGAGGAAUUUUGAUGUAAAAUUUGUAUUAUUAAAAAAUAAUCAAAAAUUUGUAUUAUUGCAAGAAAACGGUAAAAAGUUUGUAUUAUUGUAGUUAAAAAAUUCAAUUAUUUAUAUAGUUAAUGAUUUAAUAAUGGUCAAUGUUUUGGGUGGUCAAAUAUUCAAAUUAAAUCAGAGUGUAAUUAACAACUAAAUUAUUUAGAUAAAUUUUGUAUACAAGACAGUUGGAGAAAGCGAGAUCAAGCAAUAUAAUUAUACCUGAAGGGCAGAAGUGGAGGCACCAAAGAGAAAAUCAUCAGGGAAAUAUUCCUUACUCACAUCAUAAUUAGCCCGAAGUUGAAGAAGGUGAAGACUGUCGCAUCUUCAGGAAAAAUUUUGGUACUGUCUAUUGCUGGGAAGAAGAAAGAGAAAGAUGGUGAUUAUGAUCCAAGAUAAACCAGUUGAGGUUAUAGAUGAUGAUGCCUUUAGGAGGAAAGGUAGUCAGUAGAGGCUGGAAGUGCCAGGAAGGAUUGGCAUAGGUUCUUGGUAUUUCUGACCCCAAGAAGCCAUACAUUGGUAGAAAAAAUUGGGAUGAUUUGUUUAAGAAGCAUCAAUCUGGGGAUGAUUUGAAGAAGUUAUUUGUUAUCUUUUGCUUGUCCAAGCUUCUAUGUCCAAUAGCUGAUUUAGGGUCUGUCCUGAAGUGUGCCAAGAGUUUGGAAGAUGUAUCUACGAUUUUAAGCUACGACUGGUGUGGAUAUAUCUUAAGAAGUCUUUGUGCUGCUGUUUUGGACUGUCAUCAGUCUAUAAUGAUGAAGAAGAAUGAGCUGGGACAGAAGAAAGUAACAUUCAAGCUUCGGGGAUGCAUUAGCGCUUUGGCUCUUGCUGUUAUUCACAACUUCAAAUGUCGUAAUCUGGAUUUUUCAAAUGUCAGUAAGCCAUUUAUCACUUAUUGGCAGUAAGAGAAGGAUUUGAGUAGUGUUGUGAAGCAGUUUGAGAUCAACAUGGAUUUUAUUCUGCCGGUGAAGCGUGAAAAACAGAAGCUUGAGUUUAAAGCUCCUAGUAUUAGUGCUGCUAGUAGGAAGUCUGGUUCUCCUAUAAUAAAGGUGGUUGAGGGUCCAUCACCUUCAACUAGGCAGCUUGUUAUGGAUCUUCCUCAUAGUUUGAUGACUGAUGAGGAAAUAGAUUCUCUUGAUGUUCCUAAUAUGUGAAGAACAUGCACAAGUUAAAGAGGAAUGCGCUUGCAUUCUGUCAAGUGAACUUGGAGAUUGCCCAAAAUAUUCGGGAAGAAGGCGAGAAGCUGUCUCAAGACAGUAUUUCUCUGGAUGACAGUGAAGUAUUUAAUCCAGAUUUUUUGAGUCAAAUUGACGACAUAUGCAAGCGUCAUUUGGAAGCGAAAGAUAGUGCAAACAAAGUUGAUCCUACAAUUGCACUAUUGGUGAAGCGGACUGUGGAUUUGGAGUUCGAAAGAAAUGAAGAUGUUCCUGAUUUGGAUUCUGAUGUUCAUGGAGUUGAAGAGAAAGAAGGAAGUAAGUUCCUUUCAUUAUAUUGUU